RNAcentral lists this ribosomal RNA (375 nucleotides) under Paratanytarsus austriacus. Its description in RNAcentral is "partial 16S ribosomal RNA". The record is from RNAcentral. Lineage: Eukaryota; Metazoa; Arthropoda; Insecta; Diptera; Chironomidae.
UGCAUAAUCAUUAGUUUUUUAAUUGAAAACUUGUAUGAAAGGUUUAAUAAAAAAUAAUCUUUAUAAAUUUAAUUUAAUUGAAUUUGUUUUUUUAGUAAAAAAACUAAAAUAUUAAAAAAAGACGAUAAGACCCUAUAAAGCUUUAUAAGAAUUUGUAAAUUUAUAAUUAGAAUAAUUUAUUUUUUUAUUAAUUUAUUAUUUAAUUGGGGUGAUUUAAAGAUUUAAUAAACUCUUUAUUUUUUUUUAUCAUUAUUUAAUGUUUUUUUGAUCCUUUAAUUAAAGAAUAAAAAAUUAAGUUACUUUAGGGAUAACAGCGUAAUUUUUUUAAAGAGUUCAAAUCGAUAAAAAAGAUUGCGACCUCNAUGUUGAAUUAAA